UAGGGAAUCUUCGGCAAUGGACGAAAGUCUGACCGAGCAACGCCGCGUGAGUGAAGAAGGUUUUCGGAUCGUAAAACUCUGUUGUUAGAGAAGAACAAGGAUGAGAGUAGAAUGUUCAUCCCUUGACGGUAUCUAACCAGAAAGCCACGGCUAACUACGUGCCAGCAGCCGCGGUAAUACGUAGGUGGCAAGCGUUGUCCGGAUUUAUUGGGCGUAAAGCGAGCGCAGGCGGUUUCUUAAGUCUGAUGUGAAAGCCCCCGGCUCAACCGGGGAGGGUCAUUGGAAACUGGGAGACUUGAGUGCAGAAGAGGAGAGUGGAAUUCCAUGUGUAGCGGUGAAAUGCGUAGAUAUAUGGAGGAACACCAGUGGCGAAGGCGGCUCUCUGGUCUGUAACUGACGCUGAGGCUCGAAAGCGUGGGGAGCGAACA
Molecule: ribosomal RNA, 428 nt
Filed under: uncultured bacterium
Lineage: Bacteria
Also listed under: 1 other name
Description: partial 16S ribosomal RNA
Rfam family: Bacterial small subunit ribosomal RNA
Source: RNAcentral